UAGGGAAUAUUGCAAAAUGGGCGAAAGCCCGAUGCAGCAACGCCGCGUGGGCGAUGAAGGCCUUCGGGUCGUAAAGCCCUUUUUGAGGGGAUGAGGAAGGACAGUACCCUCAGAAUAAGCCUCGGCUAACUACGUGCCAGCAGCCGCGGUAAAACGUAGGAGGCGAGCGUUAUCCGGAUUUACUGGGCGUAAAGCGCGUGCAGGCGGAUUGGAGAGUUGGAUGUGAAAGCUCCCGGCUUAACUGGGAGAGGUCGUUCAAUACCUCCAGUCUUGAGUGCAGUAGAGGGAAGUGGAACUGCGAGUGUAGAGGUGAAAUUCGUAGAUAUUCGCAAGAACACCAGUGGCGAAGGCGGCUCACUGGCUCGGUACUGACGCUGAGGUGCGACAGCGUGGGGAGCAAACA
Molecule: ribosomal RNA, 403 nt
Filed under: uncultured bacterium
Lineage: Bacteria
Description: bacterial SSU rRNA
Rfam family: Bacterial small subunit ribosomal RNA
Source: RNAcentral